GACGAACGCUGGCGGCGCGCCUAACACAUGCAAGUCGAACGAGCGAGAGAGAGCUUGCUUUCUUGAGCGAGUGGCGAACGGGUGAGUAACGCGUGAGGAACCUGCCUCAAAGAGGGGGACAACAGUUGGAAACGACUGCUAAUACCGCAUAAGCCCACGGUGCCGCAUGGCACAGAGGGAAAAGGAGCAAUCCGCUUUGAGAUGGCCCCGCGUCCGAUUAGCUAGUUGGUGAGGUAACGGCCCACCAAGGCGACGAUCGGUAGCCGGACUGAGAGGUUGAACGGCCACAUUGGGACUGAGACACGGCCCAGACUCCUACGGGAGGCAGCAGUGGGGAAUAUUGCACAAUGGGGGAAACCCUGAUGCAGCGACGCCGCGUGGAGGAAGAAGGUCUUCGGAUUGUAAACUCCUGUUGUUGGGGAAGAUAAUGACGGUACCCAACAAGGAAGUGACGGCUAACUACGUG
RNAcentral lists this ribosomal RNA (466 nucleotides) under uncultured bacterium. RNAcentral's name for it is "partial 16S ribosomal RNA". It matches the Rfam family "Bacterial small subunit ribosomal RNA", at positions 28 to 507 of the family's 1533-position model. The record is from RNAcentral.